AAUUUCAAAGUACAUUAAUUUAUACAGUGACUCCAUUUAUUAACUUCUGACCGGUCAUAUUAAAUAAACAACCGGCAAGUGCGAGUCGAAAUCGUAUACCAAAUGUUUUGUAGGUAUUAAGGGUGCAGAGGCAUUACACCUUGGUCGACAGGAAUGGCAAUGCAUAAGGAGUAUCAUGGGCUCUGUAAAGUCUAUGGUACUCUUCACGUCUAUAGGUACCACUUUUUAUUAGGUGGGCCGUCAGCUUGUUUUCCGUUCUAAGUUGAAUAAAAAAACAUUUUUUUUUAUGGAUUUUAUUGCAAUGCAAUAUAAAUCACAAUGGCACUAAAGAAGUCGAUUACAAACUCGUUUGCUCAGCCAAAAACGGACUAUCCUCGAAAAAUUUUUAGGCAGCGUCAUUCGGUAAGGAUUCUAACGUUAUACCAUAUAUCCAAAUCUGUUCAGGCAUUUGUAUCUUGGAAUAAAGAAACUCGCAUACAUGAAAUUAGAAAACAUUACACUCCUUGUUUGGUUGGUCGCGUAACGAGAGCUCCUACGUGAAUUGUGACGUCACUAGACAUUACACGCGAAAGAAAAUUGUGAGUAACUUUCAGAGACUUUCUAUUUAAACGACCAACGUUACAACGUAUGGAAACAAUGAGAAUAUUCAUAACAAAUAACCAGAUUUAGAGGCGCGCGUCAUUAUUCUGUUCAUUAGGAUUGCGCCGUGUCGCCGGCGCCAAGAAUUGCUCGGGAUCAAAAUAAACAUCUCAUUACAUUUCCAAGAAUCGCCAUUUAUAUCUACAUGUUGUGGAUUUGUGAUCAUAAAUAAUUCUGCAACUGAACGCGACCUUGGAACAGUUUUGAUCGAUCGAACUAGGAUGGAAUCAGAUACACGUACAACAAACAACAUAGAGCUAUGUUAUGGCAGGUUUAGGUCAUUGAGAACAUCAAUGUAAGAAAAAGAAAACUAGACAAUGUAUACAAGGGUUAAGGACAUUACGCCAUUAUAUGGUACCCAUGAGAAGAAAUAGCCCCAUAAUUAUGGCGUGUGUACGUGCCAGGGUCACAUUGUUGAUGUGACAAGAUUACAAAUAAUUUGAUGACACGGAUUAUGUUGUCGAUGAGUAGAUGCUCGUACUUCUCUGAAAGGAGUCUUUGAGUUUAGCAGGAAAUUUAUUACAAAUAGGUGAAAUAGGACAAAUAUUUGUGACAUGAAGAAAGUAGUAAGCAAAUAAAGUAUUAAGGGCAUAUUCAGUAGCGUACAAAAGACAUAAAUGAAGUAAGUCCCGCGGAUUAAUAACUUCUAUCAUAGAAAAAGUAUAAUAUACUUCUAUCUAUGAUAUUACCUACAUUAUAAUUGUACCGUCUUGUAAAUUGUGACAUCAUUCGUCAUCAUUUUUCUGCCCUUGUCCCAAUUAUUUGGGUCGGCGUAAUAUGACUGUUGAGUUUCUUGCGGACUCUUCUCAACAGAUAACAAUUUUCCAACCCCUGCAGUAGAUUAAAAAAAAAAAACUAUUUAAAAGUGCUUGUAAACAAGUCUCUUUGAAUAAAGAUGAUUUAAUUUUGAA
Long non-coding RNA from Galleria mellonella (greater wax moth), 1550 nucleotides. RefSeq lists it as uncharacterized. The transcript has 3 exons. The record is from RefSeq and is a predicted model, not a curated record. Lineage: Eukaryota; Metazoa; Arthropoda; Insecta; Lepidoptera; Pyralidae.